CUGCUUUUGAUUUGCUCUGACUCCAGCCCUGGCAGGCCCUAUCAGUGAGGCAGUUUCAAGGGGGAAAAUUGGAUUUGGAUAUUGUAAAUAAGGAAAGGAAGAUAGACAGGGUUGCCAUGCUACUAACUGGAAGAAACUUGAGACUGCUGAAAGGAGGAGGGAGGUGACCUUGCAGAACAGAUAUUGCUUGUGGGAAAAGAAGGCCUCCUAGUCUAUACCUGCUUCCAUGAGUGGACUACAUAUUGUUCAGUGAAUGUUUGUGCUUGACCUAGGUUUAUAAAAAAGAUUUG
Long non-coding RNA from Numida meleagris (helmeted guineafowl), 290 nucleotides. RefSeq lists it as uncharacterized. The transcript has 3 exons. The record is from RefSeq and is a predicted model, not a curated record. Lineage: Eukaryota; Metazoa; Chordata; Aves; Galliformes; Numididae.